AUGUCGUGGCCAUCCUCUCUCUCCUCUCUCUCCACCGCACACCACUCCUCUCUCUCCCCCAUGCAGCGAACCCUAGCGCUCCCCGAUCCAGAUCCCUCCCCUCCCCUCGCCGCCAUCCACCGCCGCUCGCCGCCGGCCUCGACCCCCUCCCUCCCCUGCCCUCCAAACACUGUCGCCUGCCAGAUCCACUGCAUCCCCCACCCCGGCCUCUCUCUCCCGUACUGCACGCCGCCGCCACACACGGCAUCGCGCAACAAGGGGCUCGCAUCGCUCCGACCAGAUCCGAUUGGCGCCUCCCUGGCCUCGGAUCAGGCCUGCACGACCCGGGUGCCACCACCGGGAGGCGUGGAUUCAUGCGUGCUCCGGUUGCGGGUUCUGACCAUCCUCGGCGUCAUGUCCUCAAGGUGCACGAGAGACCUCGUCUCCACUCCAAGGCCAUUCGUGCUGGCGUAG
Molecule: ribosomal RNA, 453 nt
Filed under: Triticum aestivum (bread wheat)
Lineage: Eukaryota; Viridiplantae; Streptophyta; Magnoliopsida; Poales; Poaceae
Description: partial small subunit ribosomal RNA
Source: RNAcentral